This 1347-nucleotide ribosomal RNA is filed under the name metagenome. Its description in RNAcentral is "bacterial LSU rRNA". It matches the Rfam family "Bacterial large subunit ribosomal RNA", at positions 1593 to 2925 of the family's 2925-position model. The record is from RNAcentral.
GGUGAUCCUAUGCUGCCGAGAAAAACUUCUAGCGAGGUUCGAGCCGCCCGUACCCUAAACCGACUCAGGUGGUUGGGUAGAGAAUACCAAGGCGAUCGAGUGAAUCGUGGUUAAGGAAUUCGGCAAAAUGCCCCCGUAACUUCGGGAGAAGGGGGGCCUGACCCUUGAAGCCCUUUUUCGGGCUAGGGGGGAGGGCCGCAGAGACCAGGGAGAAGCGACUGUUUACUAAAAACACAGGUCCGUGCGAACAUGUAAGUGGAUGUAUACGGACUGACGCCUGCCCGGUGCUGGAACGUUAAGGGGACCGGUUAGCUCACUUGUGGGCGACGCUGAGAACUUAAGCACCAGUAAACGGCGGUGGUAACUAUAACCAUCCUAAGGUAGCGAAAUUCCUUGUCGGGUAAGUUCCGACCUGCACGAAUGGCGUAACGAUUUCUCCACUGUCUCAACCACGAACUCGGCGAAAUUGCAUUACGAGUAAAGAUGCUCGUUACGCGCAGAAGGACGGAAAGACCCCGGGACCUUUACUAUAGCUUGGUAUUGGUGUUCGGUACGGCUUGUGUAGGAUAGGUGGGAGACUGUGAGGCUCAUGCGCCAGCAUGGGUGGAGUCAUUGUUGAAAUACCACUCUGGUUGUACUGGAUGUCUAACUUCGGACCAUGAUCUGGUUCAGGGACAGUGCCUGGUGGGUAGUUUAACUGGGGCGGUUGCCUCCUAAAAGGUAACGGAGGCGCCCAAAGGUUCCCUCAGCCUGGUUGGCAAUCAGGUGUUGAGUGUAAGUGCACAAGGGAGCUUGACUGUGAGACCGACGGGUCGAGCAGGGACGAAAGUCGGGACUAGUGAUCCGGCCGUGGUGUGUGGAAACGCGGUCGCUCAACGGAUAAAAGGUACCCCGGGGAUAACAGGCUGAUCUUGCCCAAGAGUCCAUAUCGACGGCAUGGUUUGGCACCUCGAUGUCGGCUCGUCGCAUCCUGGGGGUGGAGUUGCUCCCAAGGGUUGGGCUGUUCGCCCAUUAAAGCGGUACGCGAGCUGGGUUUAGAACGUCGUGAGACAGUUCGGUCCCUAUCCUCUGUGCGCGUAGGAGACUUGAGAAGGGCUGUCCCUAGUACGAGAGGACCGGGAUGGACGAACCUCUGGUGUGUCAGUUGUUCUGCCAAGGGCACCGCUGAUUAGCUACGUUCGGGAGUGAUAACCGCUGAAAGCAUCUAAGCGGGAAGCAUGCUUCAAGAUGAGGUCUCCAUGAACUUCGUGUUCGAGAGGUCCCCAGCUAGACGACUGGGUUGAUAGGCCAGAUGUGGAAGCACAGUAAUGUGUGGAGCUGACUGGUACUAAUAGACCGAUCACUUCC